CAGGCCUGAUUCGGAGGGAGCAGGGGACGGGGCGGGGGCGGGGCGUGGGUUAAGGGGGCCUCCCCGAGUCCCCUCCCCAGGCUCGCGCCCUGUCCUCGGCAGCAGAGCGCACAUUUUACAAGGCCCCUCCCAUGGCUCUUCUGGGCCAAGUUGGGGAGACCAGGACCCUGGGCCAGCGGUCACUCUCCUUAAAGGCCACACCAGCAGCCGGGAAGGCAGAGGACGCGGAGAAGCAGGGAAAGGCCGUCCUUAGGCCUACACACAAAGCAGGGUAGCUGGGUCCGAGAGCAGGAGUGCAGUGGCAGCCACUGUGUCCACGCGGGACGGGAGAACAAGACGGGGCGGGGGAACCGAGCCUCAGAGGCCUGUGCUGUGCCUGGACCCACCCGCGGGCUGCCCCACCUGGCAGGUCCCUGUGAAGGCCAACUUCCAAGACACCCUCCACCCAGAGACCCCCACCCUGAGGAGACGCCAGGCCAGAACCCAAGCCCUUGACCCUACGUGAUGAGGUGGGGUCUCUCCUUUAUGCUUCCCACCUGGGCCCAGAGGGCAGGCAGGACCGCAGACGGGCAGCCCGGGAGGUUCCACUUAUUCCCGCUGUGAGGAGACGGAGCUGGGCACUGCGACCUCGCUCUGCAACCCCCAGGACACCGGCUUCUUCCUGGGCCUCCUGGAGAGGGCUCCGCCCAGCGAGGCCUUGGGCAGACAGCCCAGGCCCCCGGCUGUCGGUGCAGUUCGUCAUUCACACGAGGUCUCUGCCACUGGUCUCACGUGCCAGUACCUACUGCGGUCGCAGUGUCCUCACAUACGGUCACCUCAGGCUUCCAAGGGACCCCUGGAGUACUGUCCCUACAAGGGCCAGGUGAGUGGUCAGAGGACUGAUCUUGGAACGAGAAGAUGGCAAGUCCCAGCCGCCAGGCCUCAGGCUCUGACCCAGGUGCAGGACUCCCCUGCUGCCCUCUGGGCUGAGCAGGCCAAGUCUAUCCUGGUCACCUGGCAGAGGCAGGCUGUCAGGUCUCCCCACCCAGGGUCACUCUGUCGCCCCUCUCCACGGCCCACCCCAGGCAGCGGCAGAAGGCACCCUGGAGCGCACUGAACAAUUCUGGCCACACCAGCCCCAUUUCAAGCACUACACCCCGCAAGGCCAGCAGCCACCCUGUCGGCACAGCUGUUCCAGGAUGGCAGGCAACGCCAUCCGCCCGAGACACGCCGGUCCCUCUGGUACCAGCCAUUAGUAUCUUUAAAUAGACUCACCUGAGGAGGAGGCCGGUCUCGCUCCAGUAGCCCACCCUGUCCACGGUGGCUGGGACCGGUGGCCUCCUCUGAGGCCUGUGGGGUGAGUGACCGCCCUGCUCCUUAGGACUGCAGGGUCCCUCCGGGGGGCUGCGGCUCAGUAGCUCCAUCCUGACUGACUCUUAAAUGCCCGGCUCUGCAGGCCCACGUGGGUGCCAGGGAGAGACGGGGCAGGCCAGGUGAGCUGGUAAACCAGCUGCCUCUGAUGAUCCCGGGCAACGUGAGAAAGUCCUGAGGCCUCGGCACGCAAGGGGCCCAAACGCACUCGGACAGGCACCUGAGUAUGCUCAGGAUGGGUGGUGCCUCGCCGGGUGCAGACCAUGAGGGCCGGGUGACAUUUUUGGACGUGGAGCUGCUGCUGCAGUGGGCGAG
RNAcentral lists this long non-coding RNA (1665 nucleotides) under Marmota monax (woodchuck). Lineage: Eukaryota; Metazoa; Chordata; Mammalia; Rodentia; Sciuridae. The record is from RNAcentral.